GCCCGGUUAGCUCAGUCGGUAGAGCAUUCGGCUUUUAACCUAUAAGAUGCCUCAGGCAAAUGGGAAACUGGGCG
Molecule: transfer RNA, 74 nt
Filed under: Puccinia triticina
Lineage: Eukaryota; Fungi; Basidiomycota; Pucciniomycetes; Pucciniales; Pucciniaceae
Also listed under: 1 other name
Description: tRNA-Lys
Rfam family: tRNA
About the family: Transfer RNA (tRNA) molecules are approximately 80 nucleotides in length. Their secondary structure includes four short double-helical elements and three loops (D, anti-codon, and T loops). Further hydrogen bonds mediate the characteristic L-shaped molecular structure. tRNAs have two regions of fundamental functional importance: the anti-codon, which is responsible for specific mRNA codon recognition, and the 3' end, to which the tRNAs corresponding amino acid is attached (by aminoacyl-tRNA synthetases). tRNAs cope with the degeneracy of the genetic code in two manners: having more than one tRNA (with a specific anti-codon) for a particular amino acid; and 'wobble' base-pairing, i.e. permitting non-standard base-pairing at the 3rd anti-codon position.
Source: RNAcentral